RNAcentral lists this ribosomal RNA (253 nucleotides) under uncultured bacterium. Its description in RNAcentral is "partial 16S ribosomal RNA". It matches the Rfam family "Bacterial small subunit ribosomal RNA", at positions 524 to 776 of the family's 1533-position model. The record is from RNAcentral.
UACGGGGGGAGCAAGCGUUGUUCGGAUUUACUGGGCGUAAAGGGCUCGUAGGCGGCCAACUAAGUCGGAUGUGAAAUCCCCAGGCUUAACCUGGGAACUGCAUCCGAUACUGGAUGGCUUGAGUUUGGGAGAGGGACGCGGAAUUCCAGGUGUAGCGGUGAAAUGCGUAGAUAUCUGGAGGAACACCGGUGGCGAAGGCGGCGUCCUGGACCAACACUGACACUGAGGAGCGAAAGCCAGGGGAGCAAACGGG